This 433-nucleotide ribosomal RNA is filed under the name uncultured bacterium. RNAcentral describes it as "partial 16S ribosomal RNA". It matches the Rfam family "Bacterial small subunit ribosomal RNA", at positions 29 to 507 of the family's 1533-position model. The record is from RNAcentral.
AACGAACGCUGGCGGCAUGCCUAACACAUGCAAGUCGAACGAGACCUUCGGGCCUAGUGGCGCACGGGUGCGUAACGCGUGGGAAUCUGCCCUUGGGUUCGGAAUAACAGUUGGAAACGACUGCUAAUACCGGAUGAUGACGUAAGUCCAAAGAUUUAUCGCCCAAGGAUGAGCCCGCGUAGGAUUAGCUAGUUGGUGAGGUAAAGGCUCACCAAGGCGACGAUCCUUAGCUGGUCUGAGAGGAUGAUCAGCCACACUGGGACUGAGACACGGCCCAGACUCCUACGGGAGGCAGCAGUGGGGAAUAUUGGACAAUGGGCGAAAGCCUGAUCCAGCAAUGCCGCGUGAGUGAUGAAGGCCUUAGGGUUGUAAAGCUCUUUUACCCGGGAUGAUAAUGACAGUACCGGGAGAAUAAGCUCCGGCUAACUCCGUG